This 45-nucleotide non-coding RNA is filed under the name Schistosoma mattheei. The record is from RNAcentral. Lineage: Eukaryota; Metazoa; Platyhelminthes; Trematoda; Strigeidida; Schistosomatidae.
AUCCAGCUGGCGAGUCUCAAAUAGGACGAAACGCGCGUCCUGGAU